UGCCAGUUUAUUUCUGUAUUAGCACUUUUACUAUUCUGUUGUUUCUGUAUUUGAAUGUUAACAGCAAGACGGAACUAAUUAUUGGUUCCGCCCGGAGGUUUCCGGCCGGGCGCUUUUGAGCGAUGCACUGAGAAAAACUUUACGGCGAAAGAGACUGAUUAUUCCGCUGUUGUAGUGUUUAAGUGGAUAAAUUUACAAGAAAAUAGACAGAAGAUGAUACAGGAGAUCUGAAAGGAUGUUUAGCACCUCUUUGUGAUAAGCAGCAAUGAGGUUUGUUAACUGUAAAUUUUACUAUAAGGGUGUUUGUGUUGAUAUAUGUUUUCAUGUGCCAUUUUUUUCUGAUGUAUAACAUAUAAAGUAUCUAGCUGUAAAUGGCUGGAUUGUAACACAAUAUGUUGAGACAUGCAUAUAGCAUUAUUUUGUUAAUUUGUUAAUUUUCUUUCUUCAAACCAGUUCUCACGGGUUGACCAACAUUAAAACCCUGUAUUUUAAUCAAGACCUCUUGCCUCAUGCCUGUCACUGGGGGAGCUACAGUGAGAACUCAUCUGCUCUGCAUGAGUAGACGAGGAAGACAGUACCAAAGAGCUGUGAUCCAUGGGCAAGAAGGGACAUCUCUACAUCCAAGAGUGUGCAUCUGCCCCUGACAUUUACACAUCUGCAGCAUCCAUAGAAAAAUCCAGGUGCCCUACCACGAAUCCAGCUGAAGCCAAAAAGCUUAAAUAUUUUCCACAAGAGACUGUGACAUAUUUUUGCCUUCAUAUUCAUACGGUAUAGUUGUGUGCAUGCUUAAGUGUUAACUAAGCUGCAAGUAAGAGACUUGAAUGAAAAUGUUCUGCAUAAUAGACUGAAUUUUGCAUUUCACAGAAUAACGGGAUAUUGAUUUGUGUGAAGUAGAUGUGAAUAUUUUCUAAAGACUAAUACUAGUGGUAGAAAGUUUAUGAAUGUGAAUAGCUUAUGAGAAGUGAAUCACUUAGCUUCUUGCCAAAUUACAUUUAACCCAAAAUUAAGUACACCAAGUAACAAUGUCAGAGCCUAGUCAUACCUCUAGCAGAAAGCAGGUUAGUGCAGGGAAAAAUGUAGAGCAGCAGUGCAUAGACAUACAACCACAGGCCACUAAAGGCACAAGAGCUGAAGACCACACUUCCUCACAAGAACCUAGAAGAAGCCAAAGAGUCCGAAAAUUAACGGAAAAGGGCCAAGAACUGUACAGUGAGCAAAUAAGAAGAUUUGCUCACAGUUUCACUGUGAGAUAUGAGGAGUGGAAGGCUAUCGCUAAGGACGCCAAGCGAGCCCUGAGUGGACAAUGCUCUAACAACCUGCUACAUGAAUACAUCAGCAAAGUAAGCGUAGCUUCAAAAAAUCUGAACAUUGCUUAUGAAGAGUUGAGGCACAUAGAUAACCCUGAUCAGGACACACGUCGCAGAAUUGACACCUGUGAUGCAGUAACCAGGAAGAUCAUCCAAAGUGCAAAAGAUCGUUUGGAGACAGCAGAUAAUGGUGGAGGAAAUGAAGAACAAGGCCACAGGGCGACAUCGUCUAUAUUCAAGUCUGUAGCAUCAGACAAGAUAAGUGUCAGAUCCCAAUUCACAAAGUCCUCUCAUGCUCAAGGCAGCUCCAGACAUUCAAGUCAGAUUUCUGCUAGCAGACAAGAUGCCGCUGCUGAAGUUGCUGCCAAUGAAGCUACUCUAGAAGUACUACUAGAACAAGAGUGUUGCAUUGAGGAAUUGGAAAAGCUUGAAGCUGAAGCUGCAGAGAGACAAAAGGUGCUAGAAGCAAAGCGCAGACAACUGGAGCGACUAGAAACAGUUAAAAAGUUAAAAGCUGCUAAGGCACGUCAGCGAGUGUAUGAUCAGAGUCAGUGCUCAGAUGAAGAAAUAAGCAGUCUACUCCAUCAAAGUGUCUGUAUUAAGGAAAGGGAAGAAGUGAAACAUGAAAAUAAUCUGUUGCAGCACCAUUCCUCACCACAAGACUGGGGACACUCAAAGCAAGAUGACAGCACAGCAGCUCUUGUUAGAGCACUUGCAGAGUCCAUCAGUGCAGGUCGUCUUCCGAUACCUGAACCAACAAUAUUCAGUGGCGACCCACUCAGAUUCAAUGACUGGAAGGUUUCGUUUCAGACACUCAUUGAUCGGAAAAACAUUCCAACUGAAGAAAAGAUAUAUUACUUGCGAAAGUAUGUGAGUGGACCUGCUAAAAAGGCUAUAGAGAGCUACUUCCUGCUUGGUUCAGAAUCAGCCUAUCAUGCAGCAUGGAGGAUCCUCGAGGAAAGAUAUGGGAAUCCAUUCCUCAUAGCCAAAGCUUUCAGAGACAAGCUGGAGGGAUGGCCCAAGAUAAGCUCUAAAAGCAGUAUCGAACUUCAAGAGUUUGCUGAUUUCCUGCGGAGCUGUGAGGCAGCUAUGACUCAGAUCAGAGGCCUCAAUGUACUUAAUGACUGCAAUGAGAACCAGAAGUUACUUGCAAAACUUCCAGACUGGCUGACUUCGAGAUGGAACAGAAAGGUAAUUGAAGUGGAGGAAGAAAGUCACACAUUCCCAAGCUUCCAGCAGUUUGUAGAGUUUCUCACACGUGAAGCUAAGAUUGCAAAUAACCCAAUAACAUCUUUCCAUGCUCUGAAACCUGCUGAAGAUAAGCAGAUCAAAGUUUUAAAGAACAGAGCUGUAGGAGCUAAAGUACUAGCAACUAACUCGGAUGAAAAGGCUUCCUCCACAAGCUGUUUCUUUUGUGAGAAGUCAGGUCACAGUUUACACAAGUGUUGGAAAUUUAUGGAUAAGACCAUCUCUGAGCGAAUCAAGUUUGUUCAAGGGAUGAAGUUGUGCUUUGGCUGUCUGAAGCCUGGCCAUCGCUCAAAGGAGUGUGAAAAUAGGAAGAUCUGCGACACUUGUGAGAAAGGACAUCCAACCUGCCUACACGAUAAUCGCAGCAAAGAAAGAGGAAGGUCAACAAGGAUUGGAAGGGAAAUGGAGCGUGACAAGUCAAGAGAAGAAACAACAGAUCGUUCACAAGAAAAGAUGACAAGAACACCACGCGAGGUAACAUCUAACAGAGUUAUCCAGAAUGUUAAAAGCACCCAUACAUCCUCAGUCAUUCCUGUGUGGUUGUCAACUACAAGUAAGCCAAAUCAUGAAGUUCUUGUGUACGCACUCCUCGAUACACAGAGUGACACGACCUUCAUCCUUGAAGAGACAGCAAAGGUGCUUCACACUAAAGAUGAACCAGUCCAGUUAAAGCUCUCCACGAUGACUUCAAGAAAUACAGUGGUGCCUAGCAGAAAGCUGACUGGUCUACAAAUAAGAGGAUUCUACUCGGAUAAGAUAAUCUCUCUGCCAGUAACUUACUCAAGAGAAUUCAUCCCUGCAAACAGAGAUCAUAUUCCCACACCAGAGACUGCCAAGUCAUGGUCUCACCUUGAGCACAUUGCAGAUGAAAUUGCUCCUCUACAGAGCUGUGAUGUCGGCCUGCUAAUUGGCUACAACUGUCCUCAGGCUCUUGUACCAAGACAAGUGGUUGCUGGAGAAGAAAGUGAGCCCUUUGCUCAGAGAACAGACCUGGGUUGGAGUAUAGUUGGUUAUGGCAACCCAUGUCUUGACUUUGGAGAUGCUUUUGGAACAAGUCACCAGGUCAUUGUGCAGCAAGUGAUAUCAGUUCUUCCAAAUCUCCCAAGCGAAGUGCACUAUGUCUGUAAAACACAGAUCAAGGAAGUAAUCCUUCCAACAGAUGUCAUCAAGGUGUUGGAAUCUGAUUUUGCAGAAAGGGCUUCGGAAGAUGAACACCUUUCUCAAGAGGAUCUUCAGUUCAUGUCAAUUAUGGAAAGUGGCAUCAGACUCAAGGAUGACGGGCACUAUGAAAUGCCACUUCCCUUCAAGAAAGUAAGACCAAACUUACCAGAUAACAAGAUAUGUGGCAUCCACCGUCUCAGAUGUCUGGAGAAAAAGUUAAAGGGAAAUGAGCAGUACUACAAAGACUAUAAGGCCUUCAUGGAUGAGACAAUAGCUCAUGGAUAUGCCGAGCUUGUCCCUGAAGAGGAUAUCAGUAAGACUCCAGUGUGGUACAUUCCCCACCAUGGGGUGUAUCAUCCCCAAAAGCCUGGUAAGAUCCGUGUCGUUUUUGACUGCUCCGUAAGGUUUCAAGGGACAUCCCUAAAUGACCAUCUCCUGACUGGCCCAGAGUUAACGAACACCUUGGUGGGAGUUUUGUGUCGGUUCAGAAAGGGUUGUGUGGCAGUUAUGUGUGACAUAGAACAAAUGUUCCAUCAGUUCCAUGUUAAGAAAGAAGACCAAGAUUAUCUCAGAUUCUUGUGGUGGAAGGAUGGAGAUCUUAAAGCCCAGCCCUCCAUCUAUCGAAUGAAGGUCCACUUGUUCGGUGCAGCUUCAUCACCUGGAUGUGCUAACUAUGGCCUGAAGCAUCUUGCCGCUCAAGGACAAGAACGCUUUAGAGAAGAAACCAUCAGGUUCAUCCAGAGGAACUUUUACGUCGAUGAUGGAUUGACAAGCGUAGAAUCUGAAGACCAAGCAAUCCAACUAGUGAAGGAAGCAAGAGAGCUUUGUUGCACAGGCAAACUUCGAUUACACAAGUUCAUCUCCAACAGCAGAGAAGUCUUAGCCACAAUUCCUGAGGAAGAGUGUGCUAAAGCUGUCAAGGAUUUGACCAUGAUGUUGGGAGAACCACUAAUGGAAAGAGCACUGGGGGUACAGUGGUGUGUGACUUCUGAUGAGCUGCAAUUCAGAGUGGUUGUUAAAGAAUAUCCACUUACACGCAGAGGGGUCCUGUCCACAGUUGCCUCUGUGUAUGACCCACUUGGAUUUGUGGCACCCUUCAUCCUGGUAGGAAAGCAAAUCCUGCAGCAGAUGUGUCGUGAUAAGCUCAGUUGGGAUGAUCCUUUGUCUGAUGACCUUCGACCCCUGUGGGAGUCUUGGGUGCAAGAUCUAAAAAACUUGGCUGAGGUGAGAGUCCAAAGAUGCUACCUGCCAUCAGGCUUUAAGGUCCAGCACUAUGAGCUCCACCACUUCUCUGACGCCAGCGUGUCAGGCUAUGGAGAGAGCUCAUAUUUAAGAGCAGUCAGUACAUCAGGUGAGGUCCACUGCUCCUUAGUCAUGGGAAAGUCAAGAGUUGCCCCUACUAAAGUCAUGACUAUACCAAGACUCGAGCUGUCAGCAGCAGUGGUAGCAGUCCGGACCAGUGACAUGCUCAAGAAAGAACUAGAAAUAGACUGCCAACAAGAAUGUUUCUGGACUGAUUCAAAGGUUGUACUUGGGUACAUCAGUAAUGAAGCCAGAAGAUUUCAUGUUUUUGUAGCAAAUAGAGUUGAGCGCAUCAAACUAAGUACAGAGGCUGGACAAUGGAGAUAUGUAGCUUCAGAAGACAACCCAGCUGACCACGCCUCAAGGGGUGCCACGGCAAAACAACUCAAAGAUUCUAACUGGUUCACAGGUCCAGACUUUCUUUGGCAGAAAGAGUUACCAACUGGAGUUGUCAUGGUGGGAGAGAUCGAGAGCAACGACCCAGAGGUCAAGAAAGCUCAGGUUCAUGACACUCAGGCAAAAGAAGCAAGAAUACUUCUAGAGCGUCUACACAAAUUCUCAGACUGGGCAAGAUUGGUGAAAGCUGUUGCCAGACUCAAGCGCCGUGCUAAGGAAAUCAAAGAUCUCAAGCCAAAGUCCUGUGAGGCCUCAAGCUUGGAGGAAAGGAAAGAGGCGGAGCUGACCAUAAUCAAGAUGGUGCAGGAAGCAACUCUCUUUCAAGAAAUUCAACGCCUUAAACAUCAUAAAGAGACAAACCUUAAAGACAAAGCCAACCAGCUGCACAAACUAUGUCCGUUCCUAGAUGAUCAAGGCGUAAUCAGAGUAGGAGGCCGCUUAGCUCAUGCUGCCCUACAUCCACAUGUGAGGCAUCCAGCAAUCCUUCCUAGAGACAGUCAUGUUUCUGCAUUGCUCAUCAAGCACUAUCAUGAAAGAGUAUACCAUCAAGGUCGAGGAAUGACUAUUAAUGAGCUCCGAGCCAAUGGCAUAUGGAUCCUGGGUUGCAGCAAGCUUGUUUCAUCCCAUAUUCACAAGUGCACAAGUUGCAGAAAGUUCCGAAGGUGCACAGAGCAACAAAGGAUGGCAUACCUUCCAGAAGAGCGGAUGGAAACAACUGCUCCAUUCACUUACUGUGGAAUGGACUGCUUCGGACCGUUUCAUAUUAAGGAAGGAAGAAAGGAGCUAAAGCGUUAUGGGCUGUUACUCACCUGCAUGUGUUCUAGAGGAGUUCACAUUGAAGCACUUGAUGACUUGACCUCAGAUGCCUUUAUUAAUGCUCUGCGUUCAUUCAUCGCCAUUCGUGGAUCAGUAAGGCAGAUAAGGUGUGAUCAAGGGACAAACUUUGUUGGAGCAAGGCGUGAGUUAAUUGAAGCAUUGAAACAGAUGGAUCAAGAGGAGCUCAAAGAUUUGGGGUGCGAGUUCGUCAUGAACACCCCGGCCUCAAGUCAUAUGGGUGGGGUCUGGGAAAGACAGAUCCGCACUAUCAGAAGUGUCCUGGCGUCCAUUCUACAACAGUCGUCCAGACAACUUGACUCCUCUUCCCUACGAACAUUUCUAUAUGAGGCCAUGGCGGUUGUGAAUAGCAGACCUCUAACCACUGAUCAUUUGAAUGAUUCUACUAGUCCAGAGCCCUUGACACCAAACCACAUCUUGACCAUGAAAUCCACAAUCAUUCUCCCUCCUCCUGGAAAGUUUGUCAAGGAGGAUCUCUACCUCCGCAAGAGAUGGCGCAGAGUUCAACUUUUAACCAACAACUUUUGGGUACGAUGGAGAAAGGAGUACCUCUUAAAUCUCCAACACAGACAGAAGUGGACCAAAAAUCGCAGAAAUGCAAAGGUCGGAGACAUUGUUUUGUUGCAAGAUGCGGCUACUCCACGAAACCAAUGGAAGCUAGCAAGAGUCAUCGAGGUGUAUCCUGGAAGCGAUGAAAGAGUGAGGAGACUCAAGUUACUCAUCAGUGACUCCUCCCUGGAUGGAAGAGGAAAGCGUACAUCCAAACCUGUUUACCUGGAGAGACCCAUUCAGAAAACAGUUACAUUGGUAGAAGCAGACUGAUGGUUCUAUCAUACACUCAAACACAGUUUAUUAGUUGUUUAUUAGGAUUGAGUUCAUUUACUUUAUUCAUGCAAUAUGUUUGUCUCCAAGUUUAAGAAAUCACUUGUGAUUUGGUGGGAGUGUAACUGCCUGAUGCCAGUUUAUUUCUGUAUUAGCACUUUUACUAUUCUGUUGUUUCUGUAUUUGAAUGUUAACAGCAAGACGGAACUAAUUAUUGGUUCCGCCCGGAGGUUUCCGGCCGGGCGCUUUUGAGCGAUGCACUGAGAAAAACUUUACGGCGAAAGAGACUGAUUAUUCCGCUGUUGUAGUGUUUAAGUGGAUAAAUUUACAAGAAAAUAGACAGAAGAUGAUACGGGAGAUCUGAAAGGAUGUUUAGCACCUCUUUGUGAUAAGCAGCAAUGAGUUCUCACGGGUUGACCAACAUUAAAACCCUGUAUUUUAAUCAAGACCUCUUGCCUCAUGCCUGUCACUGGGGGAGCUACAAUAAGAUUUGCAAUCUUGCAAAAUGUAAAAAAAAUAAAACUAU
This is an RNA transcript of Carassius auratus (goldfish), 7596 nucleotides long. RefSeq lists it as uncharacterized. Lineage: Eukaryota; Metazoa; Chordata; Actinopteri; Cypriniformes; Cyprinidae. The record is from RefSeq and is a predicted model, not a curated record. The transcript is spliced from 2 exons.